RNAcentral lists this ribosomal RNA (253 nucleotides) under uncultured bacterium. Its description in RNAcentral is "partial 16S ribosomal RNA". It matches the Rfam family "Bacterial small subunit ribosomal RNA", at positions 524 to 776 of the family's 1533-position model. The record is from RNAcentral.
UACGAAGGGGGCUAGCGUUGUUCGGAAUAACUGGGCGUAAAGCGCGCGUAGGCGGACCAUUAAGUCAGAGGUGAAAGCCUGAGGCUCAACCUCAGAACUGCCUUUGAUACUGAUGGUCUCGAGUUCGGGAGAGGUUGGUGGAACUGCAAGUGUAGAGGUGAAAUUCGUAGAUAUUUGCAAGAACACCGGUGGCGAAGGCGGCCAACUGGACCGACACUGACGCUGAGGCGCGAAAGCGUGGGGAUCAAACAGG